This 433-nucleotide ribosomal RNA is filed under the name uncultured bacterium. RNAcentral describes it as "partial 16S ribosomal RNA". It matches the Rfam family "Bacterial small subunit ribosomal RNA", at positions 29 to 507 of the family's 1533-position model. The record is from RNAcentral.
AACGAACGCUGGCAGCAUGCCUAACACAUGCAAGUCGAACGAGACCUUCGGGUCUAGUGGCGCACGGGUGCGUAACGCGUGGGAACCUGCCCUUAGGUUCGGAAUAACUCCCCGAAAGGGGUGCUAAUACCGGAUAAUGUCUUCGGACCAAAGAUUUAUCGCCUUUGGAUGGGCCCGCGUUGGAUUAGCUAGUUGGUAGGGUAAAAGCCUACCAAGGCGACGAUCCAUAGCUGGUCUGAGAGGAUGAUCAGCCACACUGGGACUGAGACACGGCCCAGACUCCUACGGGAGGCAGCAGUGGGGAAUAGUGGACAAGGGGGGAAAGGCUGAUCCAGCAAGGCCGCGUGAGUGAUGAAGGCCGUAGGGUUGUAAAGCUCUUGUACCCGGGAUGAUAAUGACAGUACCGGGAGAAUAAGCUCCGGCUAACUCCGCG